GUGCAAGGAUGUCCGGGUUCUCACCCUUCACACGGGUGGGGUCGCAGGUUCAAUCCCUGCAUCGCCCACCA
Molecule: transfer RNA, 71 nt
Filed under: Mesorhizobium sp. L2C085B000
Lineage: Bacteria; Pseudomonadati; Pseudomonadota; Alphaproteobacteria; Hyphomicrobiales; Phyllobacteriaceae
Description: tRNA-Val
Source: RNAcentral